Molecule: unclassified non-coding RNA, 2790 nt
Filed under: Octopus sinensis (East Asian common octopus)
Lineage: Eukaryota; Metazoa; Mollusca; Cephalopoda; Octopoda; Octopodidae
Description: dNA ligase 4, transcript variant X1
Source: RNAcentral
UGUAUCCUCAGCAAAGUUUGAACAUUCUGUCUUGACGUUGCAAUUCCUUCCUUAUUUCACCUUUAGGAAUGUGUUUCAUUCUAACCAGGACUUAUUGCUUGAUAUACACACCCAGUUUUAUGAAAUAAAUUUAAGCUUAAAACUUAUUACUAUGGAUGUUGCUCAGACAGACAAACCUGUUGAGACUAAAAUUUCUGAUAAAGUCCAUUUUGAAGAGUUAACAGGUCUGCUUGAGAAAAUAAAGAAAGCUCAAGGAAUUGAGAAAAAGAAGCAGAAUUUGAGGCUAUUUCUUGAUCAAUGGCGACAAAAACAUAAGGAACUGCAUAAAGGCAAGAAAACUACUGAUUCAUUUUACCCAGUGAUGCGGCUUUUACUUCCUCACCUGGAAAAUGAACGUGUUGCUUAUGGAAUCAAAGAACAUACAUUUGCAAAACUUUUAAUUAAAGUAUUAUGUCUUGGGAAAAACAGUCCAGAUGCUUCUAAACUUCUAAAUUUUAAUACUAAAAGAGAAGCUAACAAUGAUUUUGCCAGUGUAGCCUACUAUGUGCUGAAGAACCGUUGUCCCAAAAAUGGUAACCUGAGUAUCUCAGAUGUGAACAAAUGUUUGGAUGAUAUCGCAGUCUCCAAUACUAGCAAGAAACAUGAUGUUGUACAUGAAACAAUGCUUCACCUUUUGCGCAACAUGACUGCCAUUGAACAGAAGUGGUUGAUCCGCAUGGUAAUGAAGGAACUAAAAGUUGGUUUGAGUCAAAAUUCCAUAUUUGGUGUAUAUCACCCUGAUGCUGAAGAGAUGUUUAAUGUGAACAAUAAUCUUGAAAAGGUCUGUUUACAACUAUCAGAUCCUAACAUCAGAUCUCAUGAGAUUGCCAUUUCAUUAUUUACUCCAUUUUCACCAAUGUUAGGAGAAACUGCUCACCCAAACAAGAUUUCUGAAGUAUUGUCUGGGAAGCCCUAUUUGAUUGAGACUAAAUUUGAUGGUGAAAGGAUACAGCUUCACAAACAAAAUGAUGACUAUAGUUACUUCUCUCGAAAUGGACAUAAUUAUUCAAAAACAUUUGGAGCAUCUGCCUUUCAAGGCACCAUUACACAAUACAUUCAUGAGAGCUUUCUUCCUGGUAUCCAUUCCUGUAUCUUAGAUGGAGAAAUGCUUGGAUACAACUCAGACACUGGCGAGUUUGGAACCAAAGCCAAUCAUUAUGAUAUCAAAUCAGCUGACAGCGGUGAUUACAACCCGUGUUUCAUAGUCUUUGAUAUUCUAUUGCAUAACGAUAAAGUCUUGACAAAUUUACCAAUCACAGAGCGCCUACCAUACAUACGAGAGACCAUUGCACCCAUCAGUGGUAGAAUACAGAUUAGUCACUAUAAAAAAGGUGUAUCCAAGGCUGACUGCAUUGAAGCCUUGAACAAGGCAAUCGAUGACCGAGAAGAAGGAAUAAUGAUAAAGGACUGUGAAUCAGUGUAUCGGCCCAAAGCCCGACGAGAGGGAUGGUUCAAGGUAAAACCAGAAUAUGUUGAUGGUUUGAUGGAUCAACUUGACUUACUGAUUAUUGGUGGCUACAGAGGCACAGGACAUCGGUCCGGACUAAUGUCUCACUUCCUCCUUGCUCUUGCAAAGUCACCUAAAGAUGGUGAAAAACCAAAUAUAUUUCAUUCUUUCUGUAAGGUUGGGUCAGGAUAUACAAAAAAUGAAUUAACUGAACUCAAUGAAAAAUUAUACAAACACUGGAAAAAGAGUGAUGAAAACCCACCCAAGUCAAUUGUUUUGGCACCUGGAUUCAAAGAGAAACCAUCUGUUUGGAUUGAACCUUCUAAAUCAUGUAUUGUACAGGUAAAGGCAGCAGAAAUUGUAUCAAGUGACAAGUUUCAAACUGGUUGCACCCUCCGUUUCCCUCGAGUAGAGAAGAUUCGUGAUGAUAAAUCUUGGUUUGAAUGUAUGACAACUAGGGACUUGGAAGACCUGAAACAGAAAUCAGGAGGUAAACUGUCCAACAAAUUAGAUGAAAAUGUGGAUGAUACAACACCUGUCAAAAAGAAGAGAACAGUGGCGCCCAAAGUAGAGAAAAAAGGAGUGAUGGAGAGAUUCAAACCUUCUGAUACCUCUCAUGUGAAAAUGGUACACAAUAUCUUUGAUCAAAAGGACAUCUGUGUAGCGAAUGGUCCAAAGCUUUGGGACAAGGCUAAACUAGAGAAACAUGUAGUGCAGUAUGGAGGACAAAUUGUACAGAACCCAGAUUCCCAGACAUACUGUGUGUUGGCUGACAAGAAGACUUACCAAGUGAACCAUUAUAUCAAAAGUAAUAUUUACAACAUCAUUAAUGUCAGCUGGUUUUUAGAUUGCAUUGAAAAUAAAAAGCUGCUUCCUUGGACUCCCAAAAAUAUCAUCCAUGCAACAAAGGCCACAAUUGCUAAGAUAAGAGAAGACUUUGAUGAGUAUGGAGACAAUUAUACUUAUCACUCAACAUAUCAGGACUUGAAAGAUGUCUUUUCUACAAUGCAAUUGAGUAUAUGUGGACAACAAAUUGGACCCUAAUGAUGACAAUUACCUUCAGCAUUCUCCAUUAACAUUGUUGGCUAUGGAAAUGAGGUAUUUCGGAGCCACAGUUCUGCCAGUAUUGGACAAUUCAGUAUCCCACUUGAUAAUGGACAAAAAUCACCUAGAGAGGUUGGAUAUGUUCAAAUAUAAACGGUGCCAAUCAGAAAAGAAGUUCCACAUCCUUAAUUCAGAAUGGGUCAAAGAAUGUAUAAGAGAAGGUUGUUUAUGUCCAGAAAAGUUGUUUUUGCUGUAAACUU